GACGUAGGGCGCGAGCGUUGUCCGGAUUUAUUGGGCGUAAAGAGCUCGUAGGCGGCUUGUUGCGUCGACUGUGAAAACCCGCGGCUUAACCGCGGGCUUGCAGUUGAUACGGGCAGGCUAGAGUUCGGUAGGGGAGACUGGAAUUCCUGGUGUAGCGGUGGAAUGCGCAGAUAUCAGGAGGAACACCGGUGGCGAAGGCGGGUCUCUGGGCAGUAACUGACGCUGAGGAGCGAAAGCGUGGGGAGCGAACAGG
This 253-nucleotide ribosomal RNA is filed under the name uncultured bacterium. RNAcentral's name for it is "partial 16S ribosomal RNA". It matches the Rfam family "Bacterial small subunit ribosomal RNA", at positions 524 to 776 of the family's 1533-position model. The record is from RNAcentral.